This 314-nucleotide ribosomal RNA is filed under the name uncultured eukaryote. RNAcentral describes it as "partial 18S ribosomal RNA". It matches the Rfam family "Eukaryotic small subunit ribosomal RNA", at positions 1470 to 1796 of the family's 1831-position model. The record is from RNAcentral.
CCCUUAGAUGUUCUGGGCCGCACGCGCGCUACACUGACGAAUGCAACGAGCUUAUAACCUUGGCCGAAAGGUCUGGGUAAUCUCCAAAUUUCGUCGUGAUGGGGAUAGAUUAUUGCAAUUAUUAAUCUUCAACGAGGAAUGCCUAGUAAGCGCAAGUCAUCAGCUUGCGUUGAUUACGUCCCUGCCCUUUGUACACACCGCCCGUCGCUCCUACCGAUUGAAUGGUCCGGUGAAGCGUUCGGAUUGGCGCGCACCUCGGUGCCGCCGAGAAGUUGGCUAAACCUUACCAUUUAGAGGAAGGUGAAGUCGUAACA